GGAAGGAUCAUUACCACGCGAUCCAAAACGCUCACUCAAUCAACUUUUAACUUGUCAGGUGUUCCGCUCACGCGGCGCCCGGCUCGUUUGUAAUCUCACCCCUUUUUCAAACUCUAAUGAGGACACGAAGCAACUUCGGCAAAGCCCUGGGAUCGGCGAGUGUGCAGCGCUUUAUUGCGCCGCCGCCCGCCCCCCAGUACCAUAUCACAAUGCUUACAACUUUUAGCAACGGAUAUCUUGGCUCUUGCGACGAUGAAGAACGCAGCGAAAUGCGAUACGUAAUGCGAAUUGCAGAACGCGAGUCAUCAAAUCUUUGAACGCACCUGGCACUUCUGCGAGAGUGGAAGUAUGCUUGUUUCAGUGUCAUUUUUCCCUCCCACCACCCAGGCAACUGCGGUGGACCCGGGGUCGUUGAGCCGUCUCGCUGCUUACGCAGAGAUGCGGCUUCAAGUGUGGUAACAUGAAUGUGUGCAACCUCUGGCUGGCCGCGCUGACUGCGCUCCCGCUCCGCCUGGUUUUCGCAUGGUGUGGUAGUAGCCGCAAGGCUUCACAUGCCCCCAAGCGUAAUCAGUGUCGUGUGCGUUGUGCGUCGCGUGGUAUUCCAAACAGACUUCAGAGCGUAUGAUCACACCAGGUGGCUGGCACUGCGUUAAACGCUCGCCGCCGCCGCAAACCCAACCCCUUUUCUUUUGACCUGAAAUCAAGCAAGAGGACCCGCUGGAUUUAAGCAUAUAACUAAGCGGAGGAAAAGAAACUAACUAGGAUUCCCCCAGUAACUGCGAGUGAAGAGGGAAAAGCUCAACAUGUAAAUCGGUCUGGCAGCAAUGCUGAUCGAAUUGUAGUCUAGAGGAGUGAUGCCAGCCCGCCAUACCAGGGAGAACUUCCAUUGAAUGGGAGACCUCAGAGGGUACCAGUCCCGUCCGGGCCCUGGACAUGCGGCGUUCGGCGCGCUUCAACGAGUCGAGUUGCUUGCGAGUGCAGCUCUAAGUGGGUGGUAAAUUCCAUCUAAGCUAAAUAACAGCAAGAGACCGAUAGCGAACAAGUACUGCGAAGGAAAGAUGAAAAGAACUUUGAAAAGAGAGUGCAAAGGACUUGAAAUUGCUAAAAGGGAAGCGGACGGAGCCAGUAGAUGUGGCACCAGUUUGGUGUCGCAAGUGUCAGCAUCAGUUGUGGCCGUGGCAGCUCGGCUUGUGGGAGGUACGGCGGCCCUGCUUCGGCGGGUGUUCCGCCUGUUUAACCACGAGUACGUGCCGCGGCCGCGACUGAGGUGUAAGUGUCUCACGAUGCUGACGAAAUGGCUCCGCCCGACCCGUCUUGAAACACGGACCAAGGAGUCUAACAUAUAUGCGAGUACUCGGUGUCAAACCCGCGGUGCGCAAUGAAAGUAAAGGGGCCUUUGAGGCUCUGAGGUGGGAGGCGCAAGCCGCACCAUCGACCGAUCAUGAUUCUCUGAUGAAAGAUUUGAGUGUGAGCAUAUCUGUUGGACCCGAAAGAUGGUGAACUAUGCCUGUGCAGGGCGAAGCCAGGGGAAACCCUGGUGGAGGCUCGUAGCGAUUCUAACGUGCAAAUUGAUCGUCGGAUUUGGGUAUAGGGGCGAAAGACUAAUCGAACCAUCUAGUAGCUGGUUCCCUC
Molecule: unclassified non-coding RNA, 1632 nt
Filed under: uncultured fungus
Lineage: Eukaryota; Fungi
Description: sequence contains 18S rRNA gene, ITS1, 5.8S rRNA gene, ITS2, 28S rRNA gene
Rfam family: Eukaryotic large subunit ribosomal RNA (bases 691-1632)
Source: RNAcentral